RNAcentral lists this unclassified non-coding RNA (1336 nucleotides) under Hevea brasiliensis (rubber tree). Lineage: Eukaryota; Viridiplantae; Streptophyta; Magnoliopsida; Malpighiales; Euphorbiaceae. The record is from RNAcentral.
AAAAAAUCCAUUCCAAUUGCCAUUUCACUCUUGUUCUAGAUACUUCUUUGGAGUUCCUCUCCAUCACCAAUGGCGUCCGAUCUGGAGACUAGGGCUAAAGAGGCAUUCAUUGACGACCACUUUGAACUCGCCGUUGACCUGUACACUCAAGCCAUAACGCUGAGCCCUAAGAACCCUGAACUUUUCGCCGACCGUGCUCAGGCCAAUAUCAAACUCAACUACUUCACUGAAGCUGUUGUUGAUGCGAACAAGGCCAUUGAGUUGGAUCCUACAAUGUCAAAAGCAUAUUUACGCAAGGGGUUGGCCUGUAUGAAGCUUGAAGAAUACCAAACUGCAAAGGCAGCUUUGGAAAUUGGUGCCAGUUUAGCACCAGGAGAGUUAAGAUUCAGUAAGCUAAUGAAAGAAUGUGAUGAACAUAUUGCAGAGGAAGCUGGCGAAUUGCCUAAUCUGUCGGUGGAUAAAACCUCAGCUAGUGUUGUUGCACAUCCUGCAUCUGAGUUACCGGACAAUGUUGCUAUUGCGCCUGAAGGUGCUCAACCAACGGUCAACCAGUCCCAUCAAGGAUCUGCUGCCAAACCAAAAUACAGACAUGAAUUUUAUCAGAAACCAGAGGAGGUGGUGGUGACUAUAUUUGCCAAGGGCAUACCAGCCAAGAAUGUUGUUGUUGACUUUGGUGAACAAAUACUUAGUGUUAGCAUUGAUGUGCCAGGUGAAGAAACUUAUUCUUUCCAGCCUAGGUUGUUUGGCAAGAUAACACCUGCAAAAUGCAGAUACGAAGUGAUGUCUACCAAAAUUGAGAUCCGCCUUGCGAAAGCUGAGCUGUUACACUGGACAUCGCUUGAGUAUACAACGGAACCUGUUGUAAUUCAGAGGCCUAUUGUGUCAUCAGCUGCCCCGCGGCCCAGUUAUCCUUCCUCAAAACUGAGAAAUGUAGAUUGGGAUAAACUAGAAGCUGAAGUGAAAAAAGAGGAAAAAGAUGAAAAAUUGGAUGGAGAUGCAGCAUUGAACAAAUUUUUCAGAGACAUUUACCAAGAUGCUGACGAGGACACUAGAAGAGCUAUGAUGAAAUCCUUUGUGGAAUCUAAUGGGACUGUUUUGUCGACAAACUGGAAAGAAGUUGGCACAAAGAAGGUUGAAGGAAGCCCUCCGGAUGGCAUGGAGCUGAAGAAAUGGGAGAUCUAGAAUCGAUCCUCUGUUGAUGUUUUUUGACUUUGCAUUUUAAGUUGUUUCAUUGCUAUUUUUAUUAUAGAAGAAUUUGUUCAUAUUUUCUUUUCUAAGGUUUUAAGUUUUGUUCUUUGCUGUUGGAUUGAGAUAACAGUAAUAUAUCUUCAAAUUG